GAUGAACGCUGGCGGCGUGCUUAACACAUGCAAGUCGAACGGGAAUUACUUUAUUGAAACUUCGGUCGAUUUAAUUUAAUUCUAGUUGCGGACGGGUGAGUAACGCGUGGGUAACCUGCCUUAUACAGGGGGAUAACAGUCAGAAAUGGCUGCUAAUACCGCAUAAGCGCACAGAGCUGCAUGGCUCGGUGUGAAAAACUCCGGUGGUAUAAGAUGGACCCGCGUUGGAUUAGCUUGUUGGUGGGGUAACGGCCCACCAAGGCGACGAUCCAUAGCCGGCCUGAGAGGGUGAACGGCCACAGUGGGACUGAGACACGGCCCAGACUCCUACGGGAGGCAGCAGUGGGGAAUAUUGCACAAUGGGGGAAGCCCUGAUGCAGCGACGCCGCGUGAAGGAAGAAGUAUCUCGGUAUGUAAACUUCUAUCAGCAGGGAAGAUAGUGACGGUACCUGACUAAGAAGCCCCGGCUAACUACGUG
This 478-nucleotide ribosomal RNA is filed under the name uncultured bacterium. Its description in RNAcentral is "partial 16S ribosomal RNA". It matches the Rfam family "Bacterial small subunit ribosomal RNA", at positions 28 to 507 of the family's 1533-position model. The record is from RNAcentral.